This 745-nucleotide ribosomal RNA is filed under the name uncultured Paracoccaceae bacterium. RNAcentral describes it as "bacterial SSU rRNA". It matches the Rfam family "Bacterial small subunit ribosomal RNA", at positions 88 to 869 of the family's 1533-position model. The record is from RNAcentral. Lineage: Bacteria; Pseudomonadati; Pseudomonadota; Alphaproteobacteria; Rhodobacterales; Paracoccaceae.
CGGGUGAGCGGCGGACGGGUUAGUAACGCGUGGGAACGUGCCCUUCUCUACGGAAUAGCCUCUGGAAACGGAGAGUAAUACCGUAUACGCCCUUUGGGGGAAAGAUUUAUCGGAGAAGGAUCGGCCCGCGUUAGAUUAGGUAGUUGGUGGGGUAAUGGCCUACCAAGCCUACGAUCUAUAGCUGGUUUUAGAGGAUGAUCAGCAACACUGGGACUGAGACACGGCCCAGACUCCUACGGGAGGCAGCAGUGGGGAAUCUUAGACAAUGGGGGCAACCCUGAUCUAGCCAUGCCGCGUGAGUGAUGAAGGCCUUAGGGUCGUAAAGCUCUUUCGCCUGUGAUGAUAAUGACAGUAGCAGGUAAAGAAACCCCGGCUAACUCCGUGCCAGCAGCCGCGGUAAUACGGAGGGGGUUAGCGUUGUUCGGAAUUACUGGGCGUAAAGCGCGCGUAGGCGGAUUAGAAAGUUGGGGGUGAAAUCCCGGGGCUCAACCUCGGAACUGCCUCCAAAACUGCUAGUCUAGAGUUCGAGAGAGGUGAGUGGAAUUCCGAGUGUAGAGGUGAAAUUCGUAGAUAUUCGGAGGAACACCAGUGGCGAAGGCGGCUCACUGGCUCGAUACUGACGCUGAGGUGCGAAAGUGUGGGGAGCAAACAGGAUUAGAUACCCUGGUAGUCCACACCGUAAACGAUGAAUGCCAGUCGUCGGGUAGUAUACUAUUCGGUGACACACCUAACGGAUUAAGCAUUC